GGAUUGUGGCUCAGUGGUAGUGAACUUGCCUAGCAUGCAUGAGGCUCUGGGUUCGACCCUCAGCACCA
This 68-nucleotide transfer RNA is filed under the name Marmota monax (woodchuck). Its description in RNAcentral is "tRNA.Ala". The record is from RNAcentral. Lineage: Eukaryota; Metazoa; Chordata; Mammalia; Rodentia; Sciuridae.